Molecule: ribosomal RNA, 253 nt
Filed under: uncultured bacterium
Lineage: Bacteria
Description: partial 16S ribosomal RNA
Rfam family: Bacterial small subunit ribosomal RNA
Source: RNAcentral
UACGAAGGGGGCUAGCGUUGCUCGGGAUCACUGGGCGUGAAGGGUGCGUAGGCGGGUCUUUAAGUCAGGGGUGAAAUCCUGGAGCUCAACUCCAGAACUGCCUUUGAUACUGAGGAUCUUGAGUUCGGGAGAGGUGAGUGGAACUGCGAGUGUAGAGGUGAAAUUCGUAGAUAUUCGCAAGAACACCAGUGGCGAAGGCGGCUCACUGGCCCGGAACUGACGCUGAGACGCGAAAGCGUGGGGAGCAAACAGG